CCCCCGUUCUUGUGCUUUUUGAAUGUGAGAGAGAGAGAGAGAGAGACGAUGGGAUGAUCGAGGGUUUUGCUCCGGCGAGUCGGCAAACGGGAGGUGAUGUUUGGAGCUCUUCCAAUGGAUCUGCGGGUCGUCUCGUUGUCAUGGUCUUUGGGAUUCUUGGAAGUCCGGCUGACUGGAAAUUUGGGGCCUAAUCAAUUUGUUACAGAGCUUCCUGAGAGUACACUGUUAUUCACUGGGCACUUCCUUACUGACAACAAUGAAGGGCAACCUCCAUUAUUAUGCCUGUGCAUAGUUUAACAAUUGUGGUGAUCUUUAUUUUAUGUUUGCAUUGUGAACUUUCCAAGGAUGGGUAGCAUAUACAAAUGUUGGCUAUGAUGGUAGGCAAUAGAUCCAGAGCCCAUCUGUUUGCCGAAGUUUGAUAACUGCAACGGUCUAGUGGAAGAAUGUUCCAUGAGAAAGGGUGGUAUUUGCUUUGCUGCUUAUUCAGUAUCUCAAUGCCAUGGGCUCGCUAUGGCUCACCAGGCACACAAGGCCCUAUAUCACCUCCGGAAAUAAAACCUAAUGCCACGCCGCAGAUUCAUGAUCCAAUGAUGUACUUCAUUAAUUUUUGUUUUUAUUAUUUAUUUUUAUUUUUAUUUUUAAAACCAUCCAAGAUAAAGAAAGCCCUCCGAGAGGAAAAACAAAGCCUAAUCACGGCCUGCACGGUGACGCAACCUGGCUAAUAGAUGAUCAAUUACAACCCAGUAUGUAUAUUUACGUAAAGACCCGUAAGACAAUCAAAAGGAAUGACCCGAAAAGCCUACUGUCCGCUUCCCAUUCACAGCCCGUUGAAAAGGUCAGAUAGCCGGCUAUGGGCCAGCACUAAGGGCCCAACAAAAACCCACUGGAAUCCCAACUGAAAUCCCCAUUAACCACCAGCCACAGUUCCUAGUACAGGCCAACAAUAUCCCAUGUAUAAGCACAGAACAGCCUGUCGUGGUUUAAUUGAAAGCCCGAUAGCGGCCUUACGACCAAACCCAGUAAGAGCCCAUAUGCAACCCAACAAAACCCAGUCAGGCAAAUGAUGGCCAUUGCAUGUCAAGAAGGUCCAACAGCUCAUGUAUAAUCUCAGAGCAGGCUGUGGCGGUCCGAUUGAAAGCCCAAUAGCAGUCCAAUAAAAGGCCUUUCGCACCAACAAGAGCCCAUGAACGGCCCAACAAAAUUUACGGCCGGCAAGGAACAUGCUUGGCCCAUCCGAAAGGGCAAUUACGGCCACCUGGAGCCCAUUAACAGCUCAUCUGUAAGCCCAAUAACAGCCAAUGAACGGCCCAUCGGCGAGCCCAUUAACGGCCCACUAAGAGCCCAAAUAACAGCCCAUGAAAAGCACAAUACCGACCCAAUAACAGCCCACUAAGAGCCCCCAUAACGGCCCACUAAGAUCCCAUUAACGGCUGUGAGUCCAAUAACGGCCUACUAACGGCUCGAAUGCAGGCCCAUUAAUGUCCCGAAUGCGGGUCCACUACCGGCCCAACAGAGCUCAUAGAGCUCAAGAAAGCCCAGCAAGAGCCCAUAUACAGUGCAACAAAACUCGGCCAUGGCCCAACAAUGGCCAUUGCAGCUAACGAAACCCAGAGCGGCCCAACUUUAGUAUGGCAAAAAAAAA
Molecule: long non-coding RNA, 1642 nt
Organism: Dioscorea cayenensis subsp. rotundata (Guinea yam)
Lineage: Eukaryota; Viridiplantae; Streptophyta; Magnoliopsida; Dioscoreales; Dioscoreaceae
Exons: 6
Source: RefSeq, a predicted model, not a curated record